GCAAAUAUCUCUAGAUUAUCAGAAAUGCUCUGAAUCUCGAACAGUGUGUUUAAUUUUCCGUACGUUAUUUACAAAAUCUUUUGCAACUGGAAUUCGAGCGGAGAUAGCUAUGACUGCCAUGUUUCGUUUGUGUUUGAUCCUGGUUUUGUUGGGAGUAAUUGAAGUAUUGGGUGCACGCCAUGCCAAAACCCAGAGGCACAGGACCCAACUACGCUCUUUUUUCAAACGUCAGCCGUACGUCAUCUGCGGCUCUAAACCUGGAAGUGGUCAUGUGUGGACUUGAAUGAGAUCUGUCCUAACUACUUCCCUGUGGAAUGUCCAUAUCAUGGCGUCUGCCCAAUAGGAAAGCGCUGUUGCUGCCCUGGCUUUGGAUGAACAAUUCAUAAAUAUUUUUGAUGAUGACAAUGAUGCCUAGAUGCACGUGGCUUCUCAGCCAUAGCGAAAAAAUGACGAGUGAAGGGAACAUAUUAAUAGGUUCUUCUUAGAUGGAAAUCACUUUUCAAUUGUAAAGAAAGGGAAAGAACCUUUCAAACAACUAGUGAUAAAAAUAAAAGUAUCAUCAUUUUAUACAAAA
This is a long non-coding RNA of Stylophora pistillata, 574 nucleotides long. The record is from RefSeq and is a predicted model, not a curated record. Lineage: Eukaryota; Metazoa; Cnidaria; Anthozoa; Scleractinia; Pocilloporidae.